This 507-nucleotide ribosomal RNA is filed under the name Bdellovibrionales bacterium. RNAcentral's name for it is "SSU rRNA". It matches the Rfam family "Eukaryotic small subunit ribosomal RNA", at positions 98 to 600 of the family's 1831-position model. Lineage: Bacteria; Pseudomonadati; Bdellovibrionota; Bdellovibrionia; Bdellovibrionales. The record is from RNAcentral.
UCAUUAAAUCAGCUAUGGUUCCUUAGAUCGUCUCAUCCCACUCGGAUAACUGUGGAAAAUCUAGAGCUAAUACGUGCUUACAAGCCCUGACCUCGCGGGAGGGGCGCAUUUAUUAGAUCAAAACCAAUCGGGGCUUGCUCCGUCUGUUUGGUGACUCUGGAUAACUUUGUGCUGAUCGCAUGGCCUAGAGCCGGCGACGUAUCUUUCAAGUGUCUGCCCUAUCAACUUUCGAUGGUAAGCGAUUUGCCUACCAUGGUUGUAACGGGUAACGGGGAAUCAGGGUUCGAUUCCGGAGAGGGAGCAUGAGAAAUGGCUACCACAUCUACGGAAGGCAGCAGGCGCGCAAAUUACCCACUCCUAGAACGGGGAGGUAGUGACGAAAAAUAACAAUACCGGACUCUUUGAGGCUCGGUAAUUGAAAUGAGUACAGUUUAAAACCCUUAACGAGGAUCUAUUGGAGGGCAAGUCUGGUGCCAGCAGCCGCGGUAAUUCCAGCUCCAAUAGCGU